This 187-nucleotide small nuclear RNA is filed under the name Opisthocomus hoazin. RNAcentral describes it as "U2 spliceosomal RNA". It matches the Rfam family "U2 spliceosomal RNA". From Rfam's summary of the family: U2 is a small nuclear RNA (snRNA) component of the spliceosome (involved in pre-mRNA splicing). Complementary binding between U2 snRNA (in an area lying towards the 5' end but 3' to hairpin I) and the branchpoint sequence (BPS) of the intron results the bulging out of an unpaired adenosine, on the BPS, which initiates a nucleophilic attack at the intronic 5' splice site, thus starting the first of two transesterification reactions that mediate splicing. The record is from Rfam by way of RNAcentral. Lineage: Eukaryota; Metazoa; Chordata; Aves; Opisthocomiformes; Opisthocomidae.
AUUGCUUCUUGGCCUUUUGGCUAAGAUCAAGGGUAGUAUCUGUUCUUAUCACUUUAAUAUCUGAGAAGUCCUCAGUGAGAAGACUUUAUCUUAAACGGAUUUUUGUGCCUGGGUGUUGCACCCAGAGCUUGCUCCUAAAUUUGCUUGUAUCAGGAAUAGUGUGACCAUCAGGACUAGGGCAGUGAUU